GAUGAACGCUGGCGGCGUGCCUAAUACAUGCAAGUCGAGCGAACAGAUGAGGAGCUUGCUCCUUUGACGUUAGCGGCGGACGGGUGAGUAACACGUAGGUAACCUACCUAUAAGACUGGGAUAACUUCGUGAAACCGGAGCUAAUACCGGAUAAUAUUUCGAACUGCAUGGUUCGAUAGUGAAAGAUGGCUUUGCUAUCACUUAUAGAUGUACCUGCGCCGUAUUAGCUAGUUGGUAAGGUAACGGCUUACCAAGGCAACGAUACGUAGCCGACCUGAGAGGGUGAUCGGCCACACUGGAACUGAGACACGGUCCAGACUCCUACGGGAGGCAGCAGUAGGGAAUAUUGGGCAAUGGGCGAAAGCCUGACGCAGCAACGCCGCGUGAGUGAUGAAGGUCUUCGGAUCGUAAAACUCUGUUAUUAGGGAAGAACAACAGUGUAAGUAACUGUGCACGUCUUGACGGUACCUAAUCAGAAAGCAACGGCUAACUACGUG
Molecule: ribosomal RNA, 497 nt
Filed under: uncultured bacterium
Lineage: Bacteria
Description: partial 16S ribosomal RNA
Rfam family: Bacterial small subunit ribosomal RNA
Source: RNAcentral